ACUCAAAGGAAUUGACGGGGGCCCGCACAAGCGGUGGAGCAUGUUGUUUAAUACGUCACUAACCGUAGAACCUUACCAGGGUUUGACAUGGCGAGACAUCCUAUGAAAGUAGGCUUCCCCGCAAGGGGACUCGCACACAGGUGUUGCAUGGCUGUCGUCAGCUCGUGUCGUGAGAUGUUGGGUUAAGUCCCGCAACGAGCGCAACCCUCAUCCCAUGUUGCCAGCGAGUAAAGUCGGGAACUCUUGGGAAACUGCCGGGGUAACUCGGAGGAAGGUGAGGAUGACGUCAAGUCAGCAUGGCCCUUACAUCCUGGGCUACAAACAUGCUACAAUGGACGGUAAACAGAGGGAUCCGAGACCGCGAGGUGGAGGCAAUCUCAGAAAUCCGUUCUCAGUUCGGAUUGCAGGCUGCAACUCGCCUGCAUGAAGCCGGAAUCGCUAGUAAACGCAGGUCAGCUAAACUGCGUUGAAUACGUUCCCGGGCCUUGUACACACCGCCCGU
This 502-nucleotide ribosomal RNA is filed under the name uncultured bacterium. RNAcentral's name for it is "partial 16S ribosomal RNA". It matches the Rfam family "Bacterial small subunit ribosomal RNA", at positions 899 to 1397 of the family's 1533-position model. The record is from RNAcentral.